GCUGGGAGUUGGGUAACUCUUGUGCUAAGCCUUGGGCAGCUCCACAUUUAUCUCGCUCCGCUCUGCGUGCACACACACAUGCACACACACACACACACACACACACACACACUCCACACGUCUGCCUCAGCUUUGCAAUCCAGUGGCGUGAGCUGCAAGAGAAGCAGAAUUUUCCAGUCUCUCUGCGUCUGUGACUUGGUGGGCCACCAGAAGCCUCGUGCUGGACCAGCCCCUGAACUGAAUACUCAUCUGGACAAAGAUGGUUGCAUAGAUGGUCAUUUGGAAAGAGAUUACUGGAAGACAUUGCUGCUCUGUGAAUCUGGGAUCCCACUUUUCCUGAACAGAACAAUUGAUAGCAACAAAGCUUCCUUCACACUGAAGACCAGCUCCAGGCAGGAAGAAAUGAAGCACUCCAGGUAAUAAAAUAUAUGCAAGAGA
Molecule: long non-coding RNA, 438 nt
Filed under: Vulpes vulpes (red fox)
Lineage: Eukaryota; Metazoa; Chordata; Mammalia; Carnivora; Canidae
Description: lncRNA (ENSVVUG00000013992.1)
Source: RNAcentral